UUCUGGUUGAUCCUGCCAGAGGCGACCGCUUUUGGAGUUCGAUUAAGCCAUGCGAGUCAGCGGGGCCCUUCGGGGUCAGCGCGGCAUACUGCUCAGUAACACGUGGAUAACCUGCCCUAUCGUUCGGAAUAACCUCGGGAAACUGAGAAUAACGACAGAUAGUUCACAAUGCCUGGAACGGUUUGUGGAUGAAGAUAGGAUGGGUCUGCGGCGUAUCAGGUUGUAGGGGGUGUAACGGACCCCCUAGCCAUCGACGCGUACGGGUGUUGGGAGACAUAGCCCGGAGAUGGAUUCUGAGACACGAAUCCAGACCCUACGGGGUGCAGCAGGCGCGAAAACUUCACAAUGCAGGAAACUGUGAUGAGGGAACUCCAAGUGUGUGCAUUUUAUGUACACUUUUCUGAACUCUUAAUCGGUUCAGGAAUAAGGGCUGGGAAAGACCGGUGCCAGCCGCCGCGGUAAUACCGGCAGCUCAAGUGGUCGUCGCUUUUAUUGGGCCUAAAACGUCCGUAGCCUGUUUGGUAAAUCUGUGGGUAAAUCAACCAGCUUAACUGGUUGAAUUCUGCAGAGACUGCCAGACUAGGGACCGGGAGAGGUGUGGGGUACUCGAGGGGUAGGGGUAAAAUCCUGUCAUCCUUCGAGGACCACCAGUUGC
Molecule: ribosomal RNA, 655 nt
Filed under: uncultured Candidatus Poseidoniales archaeon
Lineage: Archaea; Methanobacteriati; Thermoplasmatota; Candidatus Poseidoniia; Candidatus Poseidoniales
Description: bacterial SSU rRNA
Rfam family: Archaeal small subunit ribosomal RNA
Source: RNAcentral